GGUUUGAUCAUGGCUCAGAACGUACGCUGGCGGCACGCCUAACACAUGCAAGUCGAACGAAGUAGCAAUACUUAGUGGCAGACGGGUGAGUAACAUGUGGGUAUCUGCCCUUUGGCCUGGAAUAACACGAGGAAACUUGUGCUAAUACCGGAUAAGUCUUUACAGAGAAAGCUUUAUGCACCAUUGGAUGAGCCCGCACUUGAUUAGUUUGUUGGUAGGGUAAUGGCCUACCAAGACUGUGAUCAAUAGCUGAUUUGAGAGGAUGAUCAGCCACAUUGGGACUGAGACACGGCCCAAACUCCUACGGGAGGCAGCAGUGGGGAAUCUUGCACAAUGGAGGAAACUCUGAUGCAGCGAUGCCGCGUGAGUGAAGAAGGCCCUUGGGUUGUAAAGCUCUUUCGUCGGGGAAGAAAAUGACUGUACCCGAAUAAGAAGGUCCGGCUAACUUCGUGCCAGCAGCCGCGGUAAUACGAAGGGACCUAGCGUAGUUCGGAAUUACUGGGCAUAAAGAGUUCGUAGGUGGUUGAAAAAGUUGGUGGUGAAAUCCCAGAGCUUAACUCUGGAACUGCCAUCAAAACUUUUCAGCUAGAGUUUGAUAGAGGAAAGCAGAAUUUCUAGUGUAGAGGUGAAAUUCGUAGAUAUUAGAAAGAAUACCAAUUGCGAAGGCAGCUUUCUGGAUCAUUACUGACACUGAGGAACGAAAGCAUGGGUAGCGAAGAGGAUUAGAUACCCUCGUAGUCCAUGCCGUAAACGAUGUGUGUUAGACGUUGGAAAUUUAUUUUCAGUGUCGCAGCGAAAGCGAUAAACACACCGCCUGGGGAGUACGACCGCAA
Molecule: ribosomal RNA, 833 nt
Filed under: uncultured Alphaproteobacteria bacterium
Lineage: Bacteria; Pseudomonadati; Pseudomonadota; Alphaproteobacteria
Description: bacterial SSU rRNA
Rfam family: Bacterial small subunit ribosomal RNA
Source: RNAcentral